RNAcentral lists this ribosomal RNA (622 nucleotides) under Rhodocyclaceae bacterium Se2Pw_3598. RNAcentral's name for it is "bacterial SSU rRNA". It matches the Rfam family "Bacterial small subunit ribosomal RNA", at positions 395 to 1008 of the family's 1533-position model. Lineage: Bacteria; Pseudomonadati; Pseudomonadota; Betaproteobacteria; Rhodocyclales; Rhodocyclaceae. The record is from RNAcentral.
UGCCGCGUGAGUGAAGAAGGCCUUCGGGUUGUAAAGCUCUUUCGCGAGGGAAGAAAAGGUACGGGCUAAUACCCUGUGCUGAUGACGGUACCUUGAUAAGAAGCACCGGCUAACUACGUGCCAGCAGCCGCGGUAAUACGUAGGGUGCGAGCGUUAAUCGGAAUUACUGGGCGUAAAGCGUGCGCAGGCGGUUUUGUAAGACAGACGUGAAAUCCCCGGGCUUAACCUGGGAACUGCGUUUGUGACUGCAAGGCUAGAGUGUGGCAGAGGGGGGUAGAAUUCCACGUGUAGCAGUGAAAUGCGUAGAGAUGUGGAGGAAUACCGAUGGCGAAGGCAGCCCCCUGGGCUAACACUGACGCUCAUGCACGAAAGCGUGGGGAGCAAACAGGAUUAGAUACCCUGGUAGUCCACGCCCUAAACGAUGUCAACUAGGUGUUGGGAGGGUUAAACCUUUUAGUACCGUAGCUAACGCGUGAAGUUGACCGCCUGGGGAGUACGGCCGCAAGGUUAAAACUCAAAGGAAUUGACGGGGACCCGCACAAGCGGUGGAUGAUGUGGAUUAAUUCGAUGCAACGCGAAAAACCUUACCUACCCUUGACAUGUCAGGAAUCCCGGAGAGAUU